UACGGAGGGAGCAAGCGUUACUCGGAAUUAUUGGGCGUAAAGGGCGCGUAGGCGAUCCUGUAAGUCUCGUGUGAAAUCCCAGGGCUUAACCCUGGAAUGGCAAGAGAAACUGCUGGAAUUGAGUUCCGGAGAGGAAGGCAGAAUUCCCGGUGUAGCGGUGAAAUGCGUAGAUAUCGGGAGGAAUACCAGUGGCGAAGGCGGCCUUCUGGACGGAUACUGACGCUGAGGCGCGAAAGCCAGGGGAGCGAACGGG
This 253-nucleotide ribosomal RNA is filed under the name uncultured bacterium. RNAcentral's name for it is "partial 16S ribosomal RNA". It matches the Rfam family "Bacterial small subunit ribosomal RNA", at positions 524 to 776 of the family's 1533-position model. The record is from RNAcentral.